ACGAACGCUGGCGGCGUGCUUAACACCUGCAAGUCGAACGGAAAGGCCCCUUUGGGGGUCCUCGAGUGGCGAACGGGUGAGUAACACGUGAGUAACCUGCCCUUGACUUCGGGAUAACUUCAGGAAACUGGGGCUAAUACCGGAUAGGAAUCCUUGCUGCAUGGUGGGGGUUGGAAAGCUUCGGCGGUUUUGGAUGGACUCGCGGCUUAUCAGCUUGUUGGUGGGGUAGUGGCUUACCAAGGCUUUGACGGGUAGCCGGCCUGAGAGGGCGACCGGCCACAUUGGGACUGAGAUACGGCCCAGACUCCUACGGGAGGCAGCAGUGGGGAAUAUUGCACAAUGGGCGGAAGCCUGAUGCAGCAACGCCGCGGGCGGGAUGACGGCCUUCGGGUUGUAAACCGCUUUCAGCAGGGGCGAAGCUUGUGGUGACGGUACCUGCAGAAGAAGCACCGGCUAACUACGUG
This 464-nucleotide ribosomal RNA is filed under the name uncultured bacterium. Its description in RNAcentral is "partial 16S ribosomal RNA". It matches the Rfam family "Bacterial small subunit ribosomal RNA", at positions 29 to 507 of the family's 1533-position model. The record is from RNAcentral.